This 703-nucleotide ribosomal RNA is filed under the name Rhodococcus (subgen. Prescottella) equi. RNAcentral's name for it is "Prescottella equi bacterial SSU rRNA". It matches the Rfam family "Bacterial small subunit ribosomal RNA", at positions 67 to 785 of the family's 1533-position model. Lineage: Bacteria; Bacillati; Actinomycetota; Actinomycetes; Mycobacteriales; Nocardiaceae. The record is from RNAcentral.
CGGUAAGGCCCCUUCGGGGGUACACGAGUGGCGAACGGGUGAGUAACACGUGGGUGAUCUGCCCUGCACUCUGGGAUAAGCCUGGGAAACUGGGUCUAAUACCGGAUAUGAGCUCCUGUCGCAUGGCGGGGGUUGGAAAGGUUUACUGGUGCAGGAUGGGCCCGCGGCCUAUCAGCUUGUUGGUGGGGUAAUGGCCUACCAAGGCGACGACGGGUAGCCGGCCUGAGAGGGCGACCGGCCACACUGGGACUGAGACACGGCCCAGACUCCUACGGGAGGCAGCAGUGGGGAAUAUUGCACAAUGGGCGAAAGCCUGAUGCAGCGACGCCGCGUGAGGGAUGACGGCCUUCGGGUUGUAAACCUCUUUCAGCAGGGACGAAGCGAGAGUGACGGUACCUGCAGAAGAAGCACCGGCCAACUACGUGCCAGCAGCCGCGGUAAUACGUAGGGUGCGAGCGUUGUCCGGAAUUACUGGGCGUAAAGAGCUCGUAGGCGGUUUGUCGCGUCGUCCGUGAAAACUUGGGGCUCAACCCCAAGCUUGCGGGCGAUACGGGCAGACUUGAGUACUGCAGGGGAGACUGGAAUUCCUGGUGUAGCGGUGAAAUGCGCAGAUAUCAGGAGGAACACCGGUGGCGAAGGCGGGUCUCUGGGCAGUAACUGACGCUGAGGAGCGAAAGCGUGGGUAGCGAACAGGAUUAGAUAC